CCAACUUAAUUUCAAACACGCCUAGCUUAUUUUCCUUAUCCCCUCUUCGAUUCUCACCACCUGUAUGUAUUUUCUUUUAUUUUAAUUUUUUCUGACUUUGUUUCUUGCCAUUUACGCUGUACCACUAUCAUUGAAUUGUUUCUUUAUCCUAGCAUGUGCUUGCAGUACAUUACUUUUUAGCUAAUUGCUACCAUUUCUUUUCUAAAGGUGCUACCUUUGUGUUUUUUUUAAUGAAACGUAUUAAUUGGAGUAUUCAGUUACGUUAUAUUUUUAUUUUUUUGUUACAUGUUACUAGGGGUGCUUAUGGUUCAGUUUGGAUUGGUUUUGAGGUAAAAACUCAUCUG
Molecule: long non-coding RNA, 344 nt
Filed under: Trifolium pratense (red clover)
Lineage: Eukaryota; Viridiplantae; Streptophyta; Magnoliopsida; Fabales; Fabaceae
Description: long non-coding RNA (TPRA_LNC000784)
Source: RNAcentral